CAAUAGACCCCUUGUUAGAAUCAUGUUUUAGAAUGCUUAAAAUAUGGGGGAAAAAAUGUAAUUGUAAUGUAUACAUGUAAGGAUAACCUUACCCCCUUGCUGUACAUGGGAAAAUAAAAAAAAUUUAAAAAAAAAAAGAAUGCUUAAAAUAAAAUACAUAACAGAGUUCCCUUGUGAUGCAGUGGGUUAAGGAUCUGGCAUUGUCACUGCAGCAGUCCCUGGCCUGGGAACUUCCCACAUGUGAUGGCCAAAAAAAAAAACCCCAAAACAAAACAAAAAAAUAAAAAUACAUGAUUACAAAGGAAAUUAAUUCAAUACUAGUUAUCAGUUAUCAAAUCAUUUUUUUAAAUAUGUGGUGUGUUUAUUAACAAAAUAAGAUCUAGCAGCAGAUUUAAUCACAACUGUGAUUUUGAAAGUGAUAGACAUGAUACUUGAAGAUUAUCUGCAUUCGGAGAUCCUGGUGGCUCAGCAGUUUAAGGAUUCAGCAUUGUCAUUGCUGUGGUAUGGUUCAGUUCCUGGCUCUGGAACUUUUGCAUGCCAUUGGUGCAGCCAAAAAACUUUUGUAGAAAAAAAUUUUUUUUUUUUUUUGUCUUUUGUCCUUUUAGGGCCGCACCUGUGGCAUAUAGAAGUUCCCAGGCUAGGGGUCCAAUCAGAGCCACAGCUGCUGGCCUACACCACAGCCACAGCAAUGCUGGAUCCCUAAUGCACAGAGCAAGGCCAGGGAUUGAACCUGCAACCUCAUGGUUCCUAGUCAGAUUCAUUUCUGCUGCGCCAUGACGGGAACUCCCGGAAAAAAAAACAUUUUUUAAAAAAUUCUAAUGAUGUAAGAAUACCUGUGGUUUUUAUGGUUAAAAAAUUAUUAUAAAUACUUCUAUAUUUCUGUGGCUUUGCUGCCAACAUUUAUUAUUGAAGGAAAUAGUAUAUUUCAAUAAAAUGUUAAUGAAAAUAGAGUUAAUUGUUUGGCCAUUCAAAUUCAUGGUAUUCUUGAAAUCAGAUAUGGUAGGCUUAAGUUUGGUUGCUGUGACCUUCACCUCCUGGUGUUAUUCAAUGGUUAUGUUACUUGCAUACAAAAGGGACUUGACAGAUAUAAGUAAAGUCACUAAUCAGCUGACUUAAAAUGAGCAGAUUAGCAUAAAUCAUCUGGGUGGGACACCCCAGCAUAAUCGUAAGAACCUUAAAACCCAGAAAAGGAGGAUAGGAGAGGAAGGCAGAGAUGCGGCACGGCAUGUGGGGAAAUCUGAAAUUGAAAGCGUAAGAACAGCUCAACUCACUUUUGCUGACUUAAAUACAGAGGGGACUACAGAGAAAGCAUGAGAAGGAAAUAAAAUUUGCCAACAACCUGAAUGAGAUUGGACAUGAAACUCUGUGAGCUAAGUAGGUGUUGUUUAACCAGCUCAGUUUGUGAUAAUUUGUCGUGUCAGCAACAGAAAACCAACAUAAGGGACUCCAGGGUAUAAAUAACCCCUGCUCCUUUGUUUAAGGCGCAAAACAUAAGGAAAUUAGGUCCUGAAAGUUUUGUAAAGAAGAGCUCUUCAACAACUGAGACCAGCUGGACUAUUAAUAACAGAGCAAUAAAUUGCUAUCUUUCAUAAGUUAAUAAAGCUCUGCUUAUGAAACAGUAUUUUUUUAUGUCAAGUGUGGAACAAGGAAAGGCCCAGAACCAAGUCUUGAAAAACUCCAGUGUUUAAUGGUGACGGAAGAUACACCUUAAAGAAAUGUGGGAAGAGCCAGAAAGAGAGAAGAAAAACUAGGAGAAUGAUAUCACCCAGGCAGAGAAGGAGAGCCAUUCACAUGCGUGAAAAACGUCAGCCCUGUUAAAGAUCAAGUAAGAAUAAACUGCAAAAUACCCUUUGAAUUUGACCAGAUGGGUAAGCCCGAGCCUGGAAACAAACACGAAGGACCAAGAACAGGCAAAACAAUCCUGAAGAAGAAUAGUUAAAGGACUUCCACAAACUGAUUUAAAGACUUAGUAUACAGAGAACUCUACCCAAUAUUCUAUGAUAAUCUAGGUGGGAAGAGAAUCUGAAAGAGAAUGGAUAUGUGUACACGUAUAACUGAAUCACUUUUUCGUAUAGCGGAAAUGAUCACAACACUGUAAAUCAACUGUA
RNAcentral lists this long non-coding RNA (2108 nucleotides) under Sus scrofa (pig). Its description in RNAcentral is "lncRNA (ENSSSCG00055019502.1)". Lineage: Eukaryota; Metazoa; Chordata; Mammalia; Artiodactyla; Suidae. The record is from RNAcentral.